UACAGAGGGGGCAAGCGUUGUUCGGAAUUACUGGGCGUAAAGGGCGCGUAGGCGGCCUUCUAAGUCGAACGUGAAAUCCCCGUGCUCAACCCGGGAACUGCGUCCGAUACUGGAAGGCUUGAAUCCGGGAGAGGGAUGCGGAAUUCCAGGUGUAGCGGUGAAAUGCGUAGAUAUCUGGAGGAACACCGGUGGCGAAGGCGGCAUCCUGGACCGGCAUUGACGCUGAGGCGCGAAAGCCAGGGGAGCAAACGGG
Molecule: ribosomal RNA, 253 nt
Filed under: uncultured bacterium
Lineage: Bacteria
Description: partial 16S ribosomal RNA
Rfam family: Bacterial small subunit ribosomal RNA
Source: RNAcentral